Sebastes umbrosus (honeycomb rockfish) is the source of this 1265-nucleotide long non-coding RNA. RefSeq lists it as uncharacterized. The transcript is spliced from 3 exons. Lineage: Eukaryota; Metazoa; Chordata; Actinopteri; Perciformes; Sebastidae. The record is from RefSeq and is a predicted model, not a curated record.
GUAGUCUUCUUCUUCCCUGCGUAUCUUGGCGUGUUACCAUUGAGGUUACCGUUAAGGUCACCAUUGAGGUUACCGUUGAGGUUACCGUUAAGGUCACCGUUGAGGUUACCCUUAGGGUUACUGUUAAGGUUACCGUUGAGGUCACCGUUGAGGUUACUUUUAGGGUUACCGUUAAGAUUACCGUUGAUGUCACCAUUGAGGUUACCGUUAAGGUUACCGUAAGGGUUACCGUUGAGGUUACCGUUAGGGUUACCCUUGAGGUCACCAUUGAAGAUACCGUUGAGGUUACCACUGAGUAAAGGAUACCACUGAGUAUAGGUUACCCUUGAGGAUACCGUUGAGGUUACCGUUGAGUAUACCAUUGAGGUUACCGUUGAGUCUAAUGUUGAGGUUACCGUUGAGGUCACCGUUGGGGCUAGCGUUGAGGUUACAGUUGAGGUUACCAUUGAGGUUACCGUUGAGGUUACCGUUGAGGAUACAGUUGAGAAUACCGCUGAGGUUACCGUUGAGGAUACCGCUGAGUUUAACGUUGAGGUUACCGUAAAGGUCACCGUUGAGGUUACCGUUGAGGUCACCGUUAAGGUUACCGUUAGGGUAACCGUUAAGGUUACUGUUGAGGUCACCGUUGAGGUUACUUUUAGGGUUACCGUUAAGAUUACCGUUGAUGUCACUGUGGAGGUUAACGUUAAGGUUACCGUUAGGGUUACCGUUGAGGUUACCGUUAAGGUCACCAUUGAGGUUACCGUUAAGGUUACCGUUGAGGCUACUGUUGAGAAUACCGUUGAGGUUACCAUUGAGGUUACCGUUGAGGAUACCGUUGAGAAUAUCGCUGAGGUUACCAUUGAGGAUACCGUUGAGUUUAACGUUGAGGUUACCGUUAAGGUUACCGUUGAGGUUACCGUUAGGGUUACCGUUGAGGUUACAGUUUAGGUUACCGUUAAGGAUACUAUUGAGGUUACCGUUAAGGUUACCAUUGAGGUUACCGUUUAGGAUACCGUUGAGGUUACUGUUGAGAAUACCGUUGAGGUUACCGUUGAGGAUACCGCUGAGGUUACCGUUGAGGUUACCGUUGAGGAUACCGUUAGGGUUACCGUUGAGGUUACAGUUGAGGUUACCGUUAAGGUUACCAUUGAGGUUACCGUUGAGGUUACCGUUGAGGAUACCGCUGAGGUUACCGUUGAGGAUACCGUUGAGGUUACCGUUAAGGUUACCGUUAAGGUCACCGUUGAGGUCACCGUUAAGGUUACUGUUAAGGUCAUCGUUGA